RNAcentral lists this ribosomal RNA (253 nucleotides) under uncultured Eubacteriales bacterium. RNAcentral describes it as "uncultured Clostridiales bacterium partial 16S ribosomal RNA". It matches the Rfam family "Bacterial small subunit ribosomal RNA", at positions 524 to 776 of the family's 1533-position model. The record is from RNAcentral. Lineage: Bacteria; Bacillati; Bacillota; Clostridia; Eubacteriales.
UACGUAGGGGGCAAGCGUUGUCCGGAAUGACUGGGCGUAAAGGGAGUGUAGGCGGCUCAUCAAGUUAGAUGUGAAAUCCCGCGGCUUAACCGCGGAACUGCAUCUAAAACUGGUAAGCUGGAGUGCAGGAGAGGUGAGUGGAAUUCCUAGUGUAGCGGUGGAAUGCGUAGAUAUAUGGAAGAACACCAGUGGCGAAGGCGGCCGCCUGGCCUGUUGCUGACGCUGAGGCACGAAAGCGUGGGGAGCGAAAGGG